Molecule: unclassified non-coding RNA, 800 nt
Filed under: Hevea brasiliensis (rubber tree)
Lineage: Eukaryota; Viridiplantae; Streptophyta; Magnoliopsida; Malpighiales; Euphorbiaceae
Source: RNAcentral
GGUGAUUUGGGUCAAACAUAUAAUUCUCUUUCCACUCUCGAGCAUUACGUGCAGAGUGGUGGACAGACUGUCUUAUUUGUUGGUGAUCUCUCAUAUGCUGAUAGAUAUCAAUACAAUGAAGUUGGUAUUAGAUGGGACUCAUGGGGCCGUUUUGUUGAGCGUAGUGCUGCAUAUCAACCAUGGAUUUGGUCUGCUGGGAAUCAUGAGAUAGAGUACUUUCCAUAUAUGGGGGAAGUAGUUCCAUUCAGAUCAUUUCUAUCUAGAUACCCCACACCUUAUCGAGCUUCAAAAAGCAGUAAUCCCCUUUGGUAUGCCAUCAGGAGGGCAUCUGCUCACAUAAUUGUCCUAUCAAGCUAUUCCCCUUUUGUAAAAUAUACACCUCAAUGGCAUUGGUUGAAACAGGAAUUUAAAAAGGUGAACAGAGAGAAAACUCCUUGGCUUAUAGUCCUUAUGCAUGUUCCUAUCUACAACAGUAAUGAAGCUCAUUUCAUGGAAGGGGAAAGCAUGAGAUCCUCCUAUGAAAGAUGGUUUGUCAAAUACAAAGUCGAUGUGAUCUUUGCUGGCCACGUCCAUGCUUAUGAAAGAUCGUAUCGAAUUUCAAGUGUACACUACAAUGUAAGUGGUGAUCAUCACACCGUACCAGACAAAUCAGCUCCUGUAUACAUUACAGUUGGAGAUGGUGGUAACCAAGAAGGUCUUGCUGGAAGGUUUAAAGAUCCACAACCAGAGUACUCAGCAUUUAGAGAAGCCAGCUAUGGCCAUUCAACUUUGGAAAUAAAAAAUAGGACUCAUGCAUUGUA